Molecule: long non-coding RNA, 741 nt
Filed under: Marmota monax (woodchuck)
Lineage: Eukaryota; Metazoa; Chordata; Mammalia; Rodentia; Sciuridae
Source: RNAcentral
AGGACUUUCUGAAUUUGACCCUUUUGAGUGAGUGAAGCUUUGUUCAGCUGUUGCCACUAAUAGCGCUUGACCUGAAUUUGUUCUUGAUUAUUUUGUUCUGUAGUCUGAGACAGCUGCUUUGUUUGGGACUGAAAGAAGAUUUGUUCAAGCCUCCUCUUUGUGACUCUAAGAACUCCUGGAUUCUCUUCCUGCAAAGUGUCUAAAUGUCUCUGUGUCCUUGUUGGCAUAAUGUGAGAAGGUGGGGAGACCAGAGCACCCCUACCCACCAAGACCCCAUCCCAAUACUGACCUAUGUUCUUUUCCACAGUCAACUUUCCUGUUCCAACAAAGGUAUGACUUAGAGGACUCCAUCGCUGACUCAAGUACACUGAUCUUCAAGUUUUUAUUUCUGUUCAGAAAAUAAGAAUCUAAAUAUAAAAUUGAUUUUUAAACAGUUGGGGUUAUUUGAAAUGAGGGGUUGAUUGCUUAAUGAAAGAAAAAGAUGCCUGAAAUUUGAGGAAGGAAAUAAAUUGGAGCACUGAGAACCAUUCACAGCCUGUUUUUGCUGUGCUGAGUCUGUUGCAGGUAGGGACAGAAGACUGUGAGGAGCAGAGAGUGUUUGGGACUGUGCCCAGUCAGUGCUCAGUCCAUGCUGGACUUUGGUCAUCAUCCCUGCUCCUUUCUCUUUGCCCCUCUGGUAAAACUUCUACAAUCUGUGAUCACAGGGAUACAGGAAUUGCCAGGACCAUGGGUAGCAAGGGC